GUGAGGGGUCUGGAGGAUGUUUACAAAAGUCUGCAGCAGCUCUGAAACGGCAUUUUAACCCAGCAUGGGGAGGAGAGGUGAUUACUACUUUUAGCAUGGACACACAGUCACUGAAACAAUGCAAAAACCCUUAUUUCACUGACACAACUGCUACAAGAUUCAUCCUCUAGGAACCACAAAUAACUAAACCACUUUAUUACGUCAAUCCAUCCAAUGGCUGUUGAUGGUUCGGUCUAGACGACAGGGUUCGAGGACUGACAUUGUGAUUCCUCGCGCUCACUGGAAGCUUAAAGCUGACAUGAGAAUUUCAUCUUUCAUUUUCAGGGAUGUGUGUCUGCGUGUCUGCUGUUCUCCGCGUCUGUUGUUGUUAUUUUUAGAGCUAAAAGUCUGGGUCUUUCACCUGCUGGGUCUGUCAGUCUGUGACCACUUCAAGGCCCAAGGAGCAGCAGAUCUAAUCUGACCAAACAGUCAGCCCUCAGCUCCCUCUGCAUGCUGCCUGUGAACAGCUGGACCCGGUCGUGUGGAUGAAGUCCGUCAGCCGGACCAGUCAGACCGGCCGUCCGGUCUCCGUUUUGCUACCACCAACUGUGCGCACGUGACGGCGUUCGUCAUGUGACUGCCGCCUGUCUGCUUCAGUGUCAGAGCUCAGCAGCCUGCAGACCACCACGGGAGGCUGUUGUUGUUAGUUCCAACUCUUUGGAGCAGAUGAGGGGCCGUAAAACCUCACCUCACGUUAAGCCCACUGCAGGCUCAGCUCAUUAUGAAUCGGUCCUCUCAGGUUUUAUUAUGUUUUAUCAUCUGUUUAACUCUGAUUUGUGUUUGCUGCCUUCUUCUUUGGUCUUUUAUCUUAGAGGGAGACCCCUCCUGAUGGAGACGGAUGAGCCUGUCACACUCAGCUGUUUGGCCGGAUGAUGUAUCACCGAGACUUGGACUUACAGUCAGGACAUGUGCUUUUGUUACAACAACAUCAGCACGGCCUUUACAUGUCUGAUUUAUUGCUCUGAUUAAGUGCAGGGGCAGACAGAGAAGAGACUGUCCCACAUUAUUAUGCUUACAACCUUGUUAAUUACAUGACUAACAUCAUCAUUUUUCUCACAUUUGUUUUCGAGAUUUUAAUCAUGUCUGAUGCUGUUAUUUUUUCAUUAGCACUUUUUCUCUGUUUUCUUUUUAAACAGACUUUUCUUUACGUCUGGGGAGUCUUGUUUCUUUUUGUUUUCAUGACUUCCACUUUGAAGAAACUCCUAACAUAACACCAUAAGUUAGAUACACUACAUUACGGUGUGAUACCACGUUUUCAUAUGAUAUAAAACAAUAUAAUUGAACAUCAAUUCAAUCAUAUCUUAUUAUGUCAAUUCAAGAUUUGAUAUACUACAACGUGACAUAUGACAAUACAAUGUCCUAUGCUACGCUAACGUACGAUACACUACAAUAAGCUACAAUAUGCUGGAUUGCUGGAGGAGGCAGGAUUUAUGACCUAUACUGCAGCCCGUCACCAGAGGGUGCUGUUCUCGCUGUGGCUUCAUCCAGUGAGGAGGCAGACGGCGUCCAUUCUAGAUACAGUCUAUGGAUAAGAUAUGUUACAAUACAAUAUGAUACAGUACUAAUAGAAAACGAUGCAAUAAGGUGAUACAAUUAGAUACGAUAUGAUAUGAUACAUCACAGAAUGAAAAUAUAAAAUAAUAUAAGAUACAGUGUCAUGAAAUAGAUGCAAUACAAUAAGAUAUGAUACAACAUGAUUCAAUACAAUAUCAUACAUUAUAACAUACAAUAAAAGGAUGAUACCAUACAAUAUGAUGCAUUAUAUGAUCUGAUAUUCGAUCCGAUACAAUAUCAUAUGAUAUCAUAUAAUCAUAUUAUAAAACAAAAACCUGUGCUGUUAACAGAAGGCCCCUUUAGGUGCUAUAUGUAUUAUUGUAGAAUCUUCAGACCCCCUUAGUAUUUUUUCCCUUUUUUUAAUACUUCUUUAUCUAUAUAUGCUUUAUCAUAUUACCAGAGAAGUAUUACACUGAAACACGUACAGAGCAGAGUGGGAAAAUGGUGGGACCACAGCUUAUUUUCACUCCAGGGCCCCAUAGAGAGUUAAUCCGUUGCUAAGCCUAUUGAUAUACAGGCUUAGUCAUUUUUAAACAUGUUGACCUGACAAUAUAUUUAAAUGAAACUGUGGUUUCGGGUCAGCUCGCUCCCUUUAAGUGAUUAAAAGUAAUCCAACAACCAAAACAAACUGAACUAAGAGAGUGUUACACAGAGAGUCACGGACCGAAAACGAGAGACUGAGUCUGACAUUCACCUCCGGGUUUCUGGUCUCGUCUCAGACUUGUUUUCUCUUACACAAUGGUUCGCUUAUGGAGCACUUGACUUCUUAAUCAUCAUUCUCUCAUCUAAAACAGAGGCGCUUAAGAUUUAAUUAAACACAGCCACGAUCAUAUACAGAACGGUGGACGACAAAAGCAGAUGGAGACAAAAGAGAGAGAGGAACUCCAUUGUUCUAACACUGCACAGGCGUGUGUUGUGGGAGAGGGGAGGAUGAGGUGAAGCACAACUCACGUCAAAUCGAAUAAAUUACUUUGAACAAGGAGGGUCGGGGGGCUGCGGGAGGCCCAUUUAGGAGCUUUUAAAGUCGAGCAGCGUGAAGUCUUAAUUACUGAGACUUAACACUGGCCAGCUCUGCGCUCACGCUGCGACGGUCAGGAGUUGGAGGCUGAAGCCCCCGCCCCGCUUCCUAGGAAGGAGAGAAGACUGAAAACUGGAGACAAAACAGAACAUUUUCACUGUCCCAGACAGCAGGAGGGGAAAUAAAGGUUGAUUAAGUUUCAAAUCGCUGGAUAAAAGCAGUUUAGGCUUCAUCCUGCUCUCCGCCUGGUGUGGUGUGAUGAGAUGGAUUUCCAACAAAUUACACUUUUGUUCCACCGUUUUCAUCUCUGCUGUCGGAUUGAACCUUCAUGCACACUCAGGUUUAUUGGCGGUAAUGAUCCCAGGCUGCUCCCCGCUGACCAAUCACAUGUUGAUGCUUGCUGUUUUAGAUGGAGGCGGGGGAGGGGUCUGAUUCUUGGAAAAGGCCCAAAGGUAGCGUGGGGGUGCUGCUCCAUUAGUUAGGCAUGAUGAUGUGAAUCAUUAUAAGGUUGUACAAGCUGACCUUUGACCUUUAAGAGACAGAGGUGUCAGGUGUCAAAGGCGACUUUACAAUGUUAGUGUUUUACAGUUUCAUAGAGGUGCAGAUGAUUGUUAAUACGACUGAAGUCCAGGUCCAGUAAAAGACUCAAAGAUGUUACCUGGUUAGUUUUUUUUAUGUGUAAAAGUUCAAUAUUCAGCAAAGAUUUAUUUCUAUGCAGAUGAUACACUUACCUAUACACAGAUAAGAUAAGAUAAGAAGAACUUUAUUAAUCCCCGAAGGGAAAUUCAUUUCACCUAAAUGCUUUUCAAACAAAACCAUUUAAAGGUAAAGAGUGUAUAAAUAGGAUUAUUUAAAACUAUAGUGGACAGAUUCUGUAGUGGCUGUUUAUUAAGUUUUCUUCUGGCUUUAUUUAAAAGCAUUUUGUGUAUUUUCCUUAUUUUUCUUGUUCCCCUGUCGUCCUCUCAUGUGAGUUUUCAGUUUGUGUUUGACCCUGUUUUUAAAACAGUGUUUCCUGUUUUAUUUUGUAGGAGUUUUUUCCUUGUGUUUCUAGUCUAGUUUUACUUCCCUAGUUCUCCCUCCCUCGUUAAUCACUCAUGAGUUUCACCUGUGUCUCAUCUGCCUCACCUGUUGCUCGUUUCCCAGUGUGUGUAUAAAGUCCCUGUCUUCUCCUCUGUCCUGGUUGGUUCAUUAUGUGUGCGGUUGCUUUUGUCCCCAGUUGUCUCCUUGUAAUUUUUUCCCCAGUGUCUUUUGUUAGAUUUUUUGGUUGGACGUUUUAAAGUAAGUUUUUGUUGCUUUUCAUUUUAUUUCUUUUUAUUAAAUCCUUUUUUGUCUGCAUUUUUAGGUCCUUUCCCUCUUUGUUUAACCCUGUCUUCAUGACAUUGUCUUUAAAUUAAAAGGUUGGGGGCUCUAUUCCUGGUCCCACUGUCAACAUGCUGGAGACAAUUCACCCCAAAUUUAAUGAAAUGCCCUCUUGCUCACCCUCACAGCGAUGGUGGCCUUUAAGGACAAGAAGCUCCCCGUGAUAAAUGGUGAGUAUGAUCCUCUGUUUGUUGAGGUUUUGCUUUCUUGUGCAUUUCUGCGAUAUCUGUUCUGCUUCAG
This 4210-nucleotide long non-coding RNA is filed under the name Xyrichtys novacula (pearly razorfish). Lineage: Eukaryota; Metazoa; Chordata; Actinopteri; Labriformes; Labridae. The record is from RNAcentral.